Molecule: ribosomal RNA, 490 nt
Filed under: uncultured bacterium
Lineage: Bacteria
Description: partial 16S ribosomal RNA
Rfam family: Bacterial small subunit ribosomal RNA
Source: RNAcentral
AUUGAACGCUGGCGGCAUGCCUUACACAUGCAAGUCGAACGGCAGCAUGAUCUAGCUUGCUAGAUUGAUGGCGAGUGGCGAACGGGUGAGUAAUACAUCGGAACGUGCCCUGUAGUGGGGGAUAACUAGUCGAAAGAUUAGCUAAUACCGCAUACGACCUGAGGGUGAAAGUGGGGGACCGCAAGGCCUCAUGCUAUAGGAGCGGCCGAUGUCUGAUUAGCUAGUUGGUGAGGUAAAGGCUAAACAAGGCGCCGAUCAGUAACUGGUCUGAGAGGACGACCAGCCAGACUGGGACUGAGACAGGGCCCAGACUCCGACGGGAGGCAGCAGUGGGGAAUUUUGGACGAUGGGCGAAAGCCUGAUCUAGCAAUGCCGCGUGUGUGAAGAAGGCCUUCGGGUGGUAAAGCACUGUUGUCCGGAAAGAAAUGGCGCUGUUUAAUACCUGGGGUCGAUGACGGUACCGGAAGAAUAAGAUCCGGCUAACUACGUG